This 616-nucleotide ribosomal RNA is filed under the name uncultured bacterium. RNAcentral describes it as "bacterial SSU rRNA". It matches the Rfam family "Bacterial small subunit ribosomal RNA", at positions 338 to 947 of the family's 1533-position model. The record is from RNAcentral.
CCUACGGGAGGCAGCAGUGGGGAAUUUUGGACAAUGGGCGAAAGCCUGAUCCAGCAAUGCCGCGUGUGGGAAGAAGGCCUUCGGGUUGUAAACCACUUUUGUACGGAACGAAACGGUUCGCUUUAAUACAGUGGGCUAAUGACGGUACCGUAAGAAUAAGCACCGGCUAACUACGUGCCAGCAGCCGCGGCAAUACGUAGGGUGCGAGCGUUAAUCGGAAUUACUGGGCGUAAAGCGUGCGCAGGCGGUUAUAUAAGACAGUUGUGAAAUCCCCGGGCUCAACCUGGGAAUUGCAUCUGUGACUGUAUAGCUAGAGUACGGUAGGGGGGGAUGGAAUUCCGCGUGUAGCAGUGAAAUGCGUAGAUAUGCGGAGGAACACCGAUGGCGAAGGCAAUCCCCUGGACCUGUACUGACGCUCAUGCACGAAAGCGUGGGGAGCAAACAGGAUUAGAUACCCUGGUAGUCCACGCCCUAAACGAUGUCAACUGGUUGUUGGGUGCAUUAGUACUCAGUAACGAAACUAACGCGUGAAGUUGACCGCCUGGGGAGUACGGCCGCAAGGUUGAAACUCAAAUGAAUUGACGGCUGAGAGNGCGAGACGACGACGAGGGAGAGG